RNAcentral lists this ribosomal RNA (253 nucleotides) under uncultured bacterium. RNAcentral describes it as "partial 16S ribosomal RNA". It matches the Rfam family "Bacterial small subunit ribosomal RNA", at positions 524 to 776 of the family's 1533-position model. The record is from RNAcentral.
UACGUAGGGUGCAAGCGUUAAUCGGAAUUACUGGGCGUAAAGCGCACGUAGGCGGCUUUGUAAGUUAGAGGUGAAAGCCUGGGGCUCAACUCCGGAAUUGCCUUUAAGACUGCAUCGCUAGAAUUGUGGAGAGGUAAGUGGAAUUCCGAGUGUAGAGGUGAAAUUCGUAGAUAUUCGGAAGAACACCAGUGGCGAAGGCGACUUACUGGACACAUAUUGACGCUGAGGUGCGAAAGCGUGGGGAGCAAACAGG